Molecule: transfer RNA, 72 nt
Filed under: Actinophytocola oryzae
Lineage: Bacteria; Bacillati; Actinomycetota; Actinomycetes; Pseudonocardiales; Pseudonocardiaceae
Rfam family: tRNA
About the family: Transfer RNA (tRNA) molecules are approximately 80 nucleotides in length. Their secondary structure includes four short double-helical elements and three loops (D, anti-codon, and T loops).
Source: Rfam by way of RNAcentral
GGCGCGUCGGUCCAGCGGCAUGGACACUGGCCUCUCAAGCCAGAGACACGGGUUCGAUCCCCGUACGCGCUA